This 250-nucleotide ribosomal RNA is filed under the name uncultured bacterium. Its description in RNAcentral is "partial 16S ribosomal RNA". It matches the Rfam family "Bacterial small subunit ribosomal RNA", at positions 793 to 1055 of the family's 1533-position model. The record is from RNAcentral.
GUCCACGCCUAACGAUGAUUACUCGAUGUGUGCAAUACACCGUACGCGUCUGAGCGAAGCAUUAAGUAAUCCACCUGGGAGUACGACCGCAAGGUUGAACUCAAAGGAAUUGACGGGCCCGCACAAGCGGAGGAGCAUGUGGUUUAAUUCGAUGAUACGCGAGGAACCUUACCAGGGCUUGAAGUUAAGGAAUGAUGUAGAAAUAUGUCAGUCAGCAAUGACCUAAAACUAGGUGCUGCAUGGCUGUCGU